RNAcentral lists this ribosomal RNA (460 nucleotides) under uncultured bacterium. RNAcentral describes it as "partial 16S ribosomal RNA". It matches the Rfam family "Bacterial small subunit ribosomal RNA", at positions 338 to 795 of the family's 1533-position model. The record is from RNAcentral.
CCUACGGGUGGCAGCAGUGAGGAAUAUUGGUCAAUGGCCGUAAGGCUGAACCAGCCAAGUAGCGUGAGGGAAGACUGCCCUAUGGGUUGUAAACCUCUUUUAUGCGGGGAUAAAGGUGUCCACGUGUGCCUUUUUGCAUGUACUUUAUGAAUAAGGAUCGGCUAACUCCGUGCCAGCAGCCGCGGUAAUACGGAGGAUCCGAGCGUUAUCCGGAUUUAUUGGGUUUAAAGGGAGCGUAGAUGGGUUGUUAAGUCAGUUGUGAAAGUUUGCGGCUCAACCGUAAAAUUGCAAUUGAUACUGGCAGUCUUGAGUACAGUUGAGGUAGGCGGAAUUCGUGGUGUAGCGGUGAAAUGCUUAGAUAUCACGAAGAACCCCGAUUGCGAAGGCAGCUUACUAAACUGUGACUGACAUUGAUGCUCGAAAGUGUGGGUAUCAAACAGGAUUAGAUACCCUUGUAGUC